Molecule: small nuclear RNA, 105 nt
Filed under: Salvator merianae (Argentine black and white tegu)
Lineage: Eukaryota; Metazoa; Chordata; Lepidosauria; Squamata; Teiidae
Source: RNAcentral
AUGCUCGCUUCAGCAGUACAUAUACUGAAAUUGGAAUGAUACAGAGAAGAUUAGCAUGGCCCCUACUUUAAAAAAAACCUAAGCUGCCUCAUCUACCAGGAUGUU